AUUUAAUCCUAAAAAUAGUGUAUGUUGCUACGCAGAGUUCCAUGCAAUUUCCCAAUCUUCAGGCAACUGAUUUUACAAAUUCAGUUCUGUUCGUUGAUGCUACUCAACUAACAGUUUUGCUGACGCUUACGUUCGUUAUUUGCCUUUAAAGGCAGUUUUUCUUCAGUGCAUAGACCGCAGUGCCUUCCCACUGCCGAAUAUGACUGAACUUGUUUCAAGAUUGACCAUUUGAUUCCGUAAUCUUUCCCAGUGGUCUUUAAUUUCCACACAUAUUUGGAAAAUUCUUUCUCAUAUUUAUAUCUUUUGUGUUUGAAUGAUUUCGUGUGGUUCCAAUAUCUCACUUUGAAAUCGUUCGCCAUCUUUCUGAUGUAUGGUUUCUCGAUCUUCCUUUGUUUUUAUGACUGCCUUCAUUUGUUUUAAUCACUAGGGAUUCUGCAAUCACACAUGUUCCUUGAGCUUUCUAUUGGCUCAGCUCUCGCCAGGACAUGCUUGUUGUGCCUGCAUGAAAGUAGAACUUUUAACAUUUUCCAUGCAGCUGUAGAUGAUGGUUUGCAGCUGACUUGUUUGCAGCUGACAUGUCGUGCAGCUGACAUUUUCCAUGCAGCUUUGAUGGAAUAAGGCAAUUUUGACAAUCUGACAAGGCGAUUUUAUGGGUGAAAUCUUAUGUGGAUAUACCUGACGAACACGUUUCCAUUAUAAAGCAUGUACAUAAGUCAUUAUUUAAUGCAAAUAAAACCAUGGGUGAAAAGAAACAACAACUCUGAUGUUGCUAUAUGCGGAGCUUUGGCGGAGCUGACGUGUGUGAGCUGAUUGGUUUAUUUGCAUACACUCACUAAGAAAUUUCGUAAAGAAAACAUCGGAUGGAUUGUACCUAGAUGAUGGUUUGGCACUAAUUAAAAGCGGUAGAUUAGCAGACAACGCAAAGAACAACCUUUGUGCCCAAUUUCUUCAGUUCGGUUUGAAAAUCACAGCCGGACUAAAUCAUCAACUGGUAAGCUUCCUCGAUGUAACUAUCAAUCUUAAAGACGGGAGUUACUCACCAUAUAGGAAACCCGACAAUGAUCCGUUAUAUAUAGACAAACACUCAAAUCACCCACCCUCCAUUACUAAACAACUAUACCGGCAUCAAUUAACUGAAGAAUUUCGUUUCUGUCAUCAAGUUAUAAACUAGUAUUUGACUCCGUAGCCAACGUAUAUGACGCAGCUCUGCAUAAGAGUACGUAACUCAAUUGCAAGCUUGAACAUUCCCUGUUCAAGCUAAUCCUUCAACAUGCUAAUCCUUCAACAACUACAAUCCAAAAACAGAAAUGACAAAGAAACAUCUGGUUCAACCCUCCUUUUAACAAAAUGUACGUUCAAACAUUGCUCGGGACUUUGUACGGCUAAUUGAUGAGCACUUUCCAAAAGCAAACCCCUUCACAAGGUUUUUGACCGAACAGAACAAGCCGUGUCCUGGCGAGAGCCGAGCCAAUCGAAAGCUCAAGCAAAUUGUGUGAAUGGAAGGGUAUAGUCAACAAGGCAGUGAUAAAAACAAAGAAAGAUCGCGAAACGAAGGAAUACAUCGGAAUGACGGCGAACGAUUUCAUGAAAUUGUUCAAAAACAAAAGAUAUGAAUAUGACACGGAGCUUUCCAAAUACGUGUUAAUGAACGCUGGGAAAGAUUAUGGAACCAAAUGGUCAAUCUUGAAAGAACUCCCCCCUCCCCCUAAUCUUGAAACAAGCUUAGGCGUAUUUGGCAGAUGGAAAGCACUGCAGUCUAUGCACUGAACAAAAACUGUACCAACAAUAAAAAUUUUAGCAAAGCAAAUAAAACUCCCAAUCGAAGAUCGGAACUAUUCGCAAAAUGCCGCCACACAGAGAAAUUUCACGCAGGAAAAUUUUAGUGUGCGCGACUAACAAACGUGUCAGCAAACUGUCAGUGAGUUAAAAACUGAAUUAACACAUAAAAACAGUUACUUGAGGAUUGCGAAACUGCAUGAAACUCUGAGUAGCAACAUACACUAUUUUAUCACAUACUUGUGCCUUUAUCACGGCGAUAACAGGGUGACAUAAAAACGAUUAACGAUAUCGUCACUGAUAUCGUUUUUUGUCCCGCUAUAUUUGUCGCUGUCAAAACAAAGGUUGCUGUUUUGUCGAUGUUGACAACUUUAAUAUCGAAGUAUAAAAUGAUAAUACAAAACGAAAAACCAAAAGGGACCAACUGCUUUGCAAAGAUAAGUUAUUCUGUUACAAAGGCAGAAGUAUGUGAUAAACAGGUUGUCAUAAUCGGGGUUGAGGGAAUAUCUGUUUUAUUGCUUUCAGGACGACAUCAUAAAUGUCCCUCAUUCGCUGCGCUCACUCAUGACAUUUACGAUAGCGUCCCUAAAGUUACAAAACUGAUAUAUGCCCUCACUCCUAUAUAUAUACUCUAUAACUUUUUCAACUGAAGUUAUGAAUAAUUUUAUGCAUUUAGAUAUUCAUAUUGUAGUAUAAUGAGACUUUUUACUGAUGUAAUUUAACCUAAAGGUUACAAAUCGGUACUUUAUUAAAUUAAAUUAUUAAUAUAUAUAUAUAUAUAUAUAUAUAUAUAUAUAUAUAUAUAUAUAUAUAUAUAUAUAUAUAGCGAAAGUUCUCCGGAAUGAUAAUAACUUUUAUUGUGCUUUCGACUUGGUACUUCGAGUCUUCAUCAGAAUUAUUUUACAAUUAAUGAGUUUGUUGUUUGCGUUCUUGUAUACAUCAGGAGCGUCUGAUCAACAAUAAAAAAAUUUAAAAAAACAGAUGCUCCCGAUGUACACGUGAACGCAAACAACAGCGCAAAAUUUCAAACUUAUUAAUUGUAUAAUUAAUAAUUCUGAUGCACACUUGAAGCACCGAGUCAAAAGUUCUAUAAAAGUUAUUAUUAAUCCGGAGAACUUUCACAAAUUAUAAUAUGCCUGAUUACAAAUAUUUAAAAGGUGUCCCAAAAUAAACUUGCGCUGUUUGAUUUAAUCUAACGUAAAAACUAUAAAAGUUAUUACACUCAAAUAAGUUUUAUUGUAUUCAGAAAUAGCUAACUUAGAUUUUGAUAUAUAACAUUUGAACGUCCGUGCAACAUUGAGACAUUAGUCUGUAAAGGCAAUUCUCCAUUGCAGUCGCUUUGCCCGCGCGGGCGGAGCGGGCUUUGAAAAUCUGCUCACGCGGGCGUGACGAUCGUCAAAAACAAUAAACGCUUCGCCCGCGCGGGCAAAGCGGGCGUUAAUGAAAACGGCCUUAAUUAAGUCUGGUCAUUGACUGCUCGAGCUAUCGAUGUUUCAACCUUGUUCGUGUCGGCUGGUCACGUGCCUCGUCCAAAUUUAGCGCCUGAGGAGGUGUGGGGAAAGUAUCAAAUUACAAACAGUUAAAAACAAUGCGAAUUAUUAAAGAGGCUGUCAAGUCCGUUCUGCUCAUGCGCCUGUUUUGUUUACAUUUUUUGUCAUAAUUUAAUUAAAAUUCUGAUCUGUAGGUCUCCAAGUUAGCUCAUUACGCA
Paramuricea clavata is the source of this 3484-nucleotide non-coding RNA. The record is from the annotation of a GenBank genome assembly. Lineage: Eukaryota; Metazoa; Cnidaria; Anthozoa; Malacalcyonacea; Plexauridae.